RNAcentral lists this unclassified non-coding RNA (24 nucleotides) under Nostocoides australiense Ben110. RNAcentral describes it as "Tetrasphaera australiensis Ben110 p27_CRE". Lineage: Bacteria; Bacillati; Actinomycetota; Actinomycetes; Micrococcales; Intrasporangiaceae. The record is from RNAcentral.
UGCACAAAGUCCUCGGUCCGUGAG